AACGAACGCUGGCGGCAGGCUUAACACAUGCAAGUCGAACGCCCCGCAAGGGGAGUGGCAGACGGGUGAGUAACGCGUGGGAACAUACCCUUUUCUACGGAAUAGCUCUGGGAAACUGGAAUUAAUACCGUAUACGCCCUACGGGGGAAAGAUUUAUCGGGGAAGGAUUGGCCCGCGUUGGAUUAGCUAGUUGGUGGGGUAAAGGCCUACCAAGGCGACGAUCCAUAGCUGGUCUGAGAGGAUGAUCAGCCACAUUGGGACUGAGACACGGCCCAAACUCCUACGGGAGGCAGCAGUGGGGAAUAUUGGACAAUGGGCGCAAGCCUGAUCCAGCCAUGCCGCGUGAGUGAUGAAGGCCUUAGGGUUGUAAAGCUCUUUCACCGAUGAAGAUAAUGACGGUAGUCGGAGAAGAAACCCCGGCUAACUUCGG
RNAcentral lists this ribosomal RNA (430 nucleotides) under uncultured bacterium. RNAcentral describes it as "partial 16S ribosomal RNA". It matches the Rfam family "Bacterial small subunit ribosomal RNA", at positions 29 to 506 of the family's 1533-position model. The record is from RNAcentral.